Molecule: long non-coding RNA, 476 nt
Organism: Saccostrea cuccullata (small rock oyster)
Lineage: Eukaryota; Metazoa; Mollusca; Bivalvia; Ostreida; Ostreidae
Exons: 2
Source: RefSeq, a predicted model, not a curated record
AGAACGUGGAUAACGUGUACUCCAACACAGCGGAAAGUAAUGGGACGUGACAAAAAUGGUUAUAAGAACCAGGAUGGGCUGCUCUACGUUGAAGUACAGUUUGACCAAGCAAGGCAAGACAGUGGAAAACCAGUUAUCCAUGGCGAAGAUGAAAAAACAGAUUAUGCUACGGUUGAGUUCCCCUUCCCACCAUCCAGCAACAACGAUAAACCUACAGAUGAAAAAUGAAGGAUGUUUAAGAUUAUUUUAAUAAAAGAUGUUUAAGAUUAUUUUAAUUUUUCCUUCAUUGAUUGCUUAUCUUUAAUAUCUUUCCUGCUUUUUAUACAUGUAUGUACGUGCAUAUGUAUCAAUGAUUAGGAACUAUUGAUAUGUACAAUAAUUCUUUAGUUACAUACCAUAUAUAUCAAAGUAAAUAACUUUUACAGAACUUUUACAUUAUGGACUUUAUGGAAAAGACAGUUAUGAAAAUUUAUAAA